This 1258-nucleotide long non-coding RNA is filed under the name Amborella trichopoda. RNAcentral's name for it is "long non-coding RNA (ATRI_LNC001061)". The record is from RNAcentral. Lineage: Eukaryota; Viridiplantae; Streptophyta; Magnoliopsida; Amborellales; Amborellaceae.
UCCCUCUCAAGAAAACCCCCUACCUCUCUCUCUCUCUCUCUAAAGAAAAAACCCACGUGCGCUUGUGAAUUAGCCAGCAAGAUGUGGUGUGAUGAAUGUGCAAAAACAACUCAUACGCACAAAUUUAUUUCAAAAUUUAAGGGAUUUUUCAGCCUUACAAGAUAGUAAUUGCUAUUUGCAAUUAUGGUUUUCUUUUUCUCGUUUUUUGAUAUAUUGUCAAUAUUUCUGAUACAUUUUGUUUCCUUGGUGUGAAAUUUAUGGAAAAUGAAUAAGAUUGGAUAUUGUUGAAUCGAAGGGGUGAUUGGAUUAGUGGCAGCUAUUAACUAUAUUUGAAUAUUGUAUAUUUGAUUGUAUUUAUUGGAUUAAUGGCAGUUGAUGAACAACAUUGUAUGUGAUUCUAUUUCUCUGAUGAUUGUAUUUUAUUUGAAGGGCUGAUUGAUUUUUAUUUGAAGAGUGGUUCUUACAGCUCGUAUGAAUGAUUUUUCAAGUGUUUUAUGUAUGUUUUGGUUGUUCGCAAACUCUUAUUAUGUUUGUUGCUAAAUUCUUAUUCAGCUCAACAAACUCUUGAGCUAAUGGCACAACUAUAGUUGUAGACUUCUAGUCAUUGUCAAGUAUCAUAACUUCUGCUGCAAGUGAAAUGGGCGUAAUGUAAAAUGAAUGAUACAAUGUAGAGAAAUAUCUCUUGGGGGCAAUAUUUUGAGCACAUGGUCUUCCAUUUUUUUUUUAUUAAUAUCUUGUUUAUAUUUUAGAUGUAAAAUAUUUGUUGAGCCGCCUUGCAGGUUUUUGUAUACAACAACCUAUUAGUGGGCUGCCUAACACUUGUAUUUGCGUUAGGCUCUAUAUUAAUACAACAAUGAACAUAUUAUAAUAAUAAGAAAAAAGAAGCAGUAGCCUAUGUGGGGAUAGAUUUUCCUUUUAUUUUUAUUGUGGGAGCUACUAAUUGGUUUCUUUAUAGCAUAUAUUUGCAUGCUAGUUACCUUGAUUAUUGUUUCAUGGUGUUAUUUUUUUGUAUUUGUAAAACUUACUGUGAUAAGUAUAGCCAUCUGGCAUUCACACCCGCCCUUCUUCUCCUUAUAAAAAGAAUGGUCAUAUGCUUCAUUACAUCUCCACAACUGUAGAUCAUUUUAUGUCUCUUUCUUUUUCUAUACAUGUAUGUAUUUUAUCUCAUGUAAUAUGUGCUCUCUUGGUAAUUAGUUUAUACAAUGUUGAUGAACUACUUGUGUUGGGAAUAACAAAGCCAGAUUUCAUUUGUUAAAAU